GACGAACGCUGGCGGCGUGCCUAAUACAUGCAAGUAGAACGCUGAAGGAGGAGCUUGCUCUUCUGGAUGAGUUGCGAACGGGUGAGUAACGCGUAGGUAACCUGCCUGGUAGCGGGGGAUAACUAUUGGAAACGAUAGCUAAUACCGCAUAAUAUUGACUAUUGCAUGAUAGUCAAUUGAAAGGUGCAAAUGCACCACUACCAGAUGGACCUGCGUUGUAUUAGCUAGUUGGUGGGGUAACGGCUCACCAAGGCGACGAUACAUAGCCGACCUGAGAGGGUGAUCGGCCACACUGGGACUGAGACACGGCCCAGACUCCUACGGGAGGCAGCAGUAGGGAAUCUUCGGCAAUGGACGGAAGUCUGACCGAGCAACGCCGCGUGAGUGAAGAAGGUUUUCGGAUCGUAAAGCUCUGUUGUAAGAGAAGAACGAGU
Molecule: ribosomal RNA, 434 nt
Filed under: Streptococcus cristatus
Lineage: Bacteria; Bacillati; Bacillota; Bacilli; Lactobacillales; Streptococcaceae
Description: bacterial SSU rRNA
Rfam family: Bacterial small subunit ribosomal RNA
Source: RNAcentral